UGCUCUGCCGCUACUUGUGUUACUGAUGCUGGCUUUAGUAAUCUGGAGGCUUAGACAAAAACACAAUGGCGCGUUGUCCAAACGAGGACCAGACGUCUGUUCUGUGGCAGAAGGUCCAAUGACUGUCGCGUAUGACACUGUGGUCUUUAAGAAAGCAAAGAACGAACCAAACCAGGUCUCCAUUAGCCGCCCUCCUGAACGAGAUGAAGUGAUCUACAGCACUCCGAAACUUCACUAAUAACAGAUGAUCUCAGGCCAUUCACAUUAUGAAUAUUACAAUCUGAAGUAAUGGCAUCUUCGUCUGUUUUACUGUACAUCAUGCAGUUUCUUUUAAAGCCGCAAAGGACGUCACUUGAGACAGAAAAAGAGGAACCUCCAGAACACAUUUUAAAGUGUUGCAUGCGGGUCAUGGUUGAGCAGAUUAUUAUUUUGCUAUUAAGAUUUUUGCCACAUCUGUAAAAGUGUCACCUUUUAGUUAGCACAUAUGUUUGUAGUGGUACAUUUUGUUCGGCUUUUCUACUUUUAUUCUUAGUCAGUGUGAGCAAAACUGAAAGAUCUUUACCACAUCAGAGACUGACACAAUGAGUCCAGG
This 592-nucleotide long non-coding RNA is filed under the name Sinocyclocheilus anshuiensis. RNAcentral describes it as "lncRNA (ENSSANG00000024987.1)". The record is from RNAcentral. Lineage: Eukaryota; Metazoa; Chordata; Actinopteri; Cypriniformes; Cyprinidae.